CAUCACACAGAGAAGAUUCUGGGUGGUGGAGACAAGAUGUCACAAUUUAUUUGCUUUCUUCUUUGAAUGCUGAAUUCUCUGGCUGUCUCCUUCAUGGAGCUUUGCGACAUUAGGGAAGAGCGGAGUGGGGAUCUUUCAUAGAGGGCACGUGACAGCCCAGACCUCAGUCCCACCAUUCCUUGCGCACAGAUGAAAACAUGGGAGAGAAGCUCGGCUCACCAUGAUCAGAGGUACAGCAUUCAUAUCACUUGAAAUGAUCUUUCUGGGCCCAACAAACUGAAAAAACUCACCAGGAGAACUAAGGCUGGGAUACUCCCAAGGAAAAAAGGCUUGUAGCAUACAAGAAUAUUUGCUUAGCAACUCAAGCACACUCCCACAGAACUGAAGACAUACCUUUUUUGGUUCUAGGAGAGAGAAUAAAGAGAGAGAUAUUCCUGUUGAUGAAAAUGAUGGCAGAUAAAAUGUGUUUGAAGGCUAUAAAAGCUUCUUACAUCUGGAGCAGCUG
Molecule: long non-coding RNA, 505 nt
Filed under: Fukomys damarensis (Damara mole-rat)
Lineage: Eukaryota; Metazoa; Chordata; Mammalia; Rodentia; Bathyergidae
Description: lncRNA (ENSFDAG00000028051.1)
Source: RNAcentral